CAGUAGCCACGGGAAUACGGAGGGGGCUAGCGUUGUUCGGAAUUACUGGGCGUAAAGCGCACGUAGGCGGCGAUCUAAGUCAGGGGUAAAAGCCCGGGGCUCAACCCCGGAAUAGCCUUCGAGACUGGAUUGCUAGAAUCUGGGAGAGGUGAGUGGAAUUCCGAGUGUAGAGGUGAAAUUCGUAGAUAUUCGGAAGAACACCAGUGGCGAAGGCGGCUCACUGGACCAGUAUUGACGCUGAGGUGCGAAAGCGUGGGGAGCAAACAGGAUUAGAUACCCCGGUAGUCCCUGUCUCUUAUAC
Molecule: ribosomal RNA, 301 nt
Filed under: uncultured bacterium
Lineage: Bacteria
Description: partial 16S ribosomal RNA
Rfam family: Bacterial small subunit ribosomal RNA
Source: RNAcentral